GAUGAACGCUGGCGGCGUGCUUAAUACAUGCAAGUCGAACGGGGUUAGGUUGGUAGUAAUACUGAUCAGACUUAGUGGCGAACGGGCGAGUAACGAGUUGGCGACCUGCCCCGAAGAGAGGGAUAACAUGCCGAAAGGGAUGCUAAUACCUCAUAAUAUCCCGAUAGUUAGAGAAUUGGGAAGAAAGUGGAGACACGCUUUGGGAGGGGCCUGCUUCCCAUCAGCUAGUUGGAGUGGUAACGGCCCACCAAGGCGACGAUCCGUAGCGGGUCUGAGAGGAUGAUCCGCCACACUGGGACUGAGACACGGCCCAGACUCCUACGGGAGGCAGCAGUGGGGAAUUUUGGACAAUGGGGGGCAACCCUGAUCCAGCCAUGCCGCGUGCGGGAAGAAGGCCUCGGUUGUAACCG
This 410-nucleotide ribosomal RNA is filed under the name uncultured bacterium. RNAcentral's name for it is "bacterial SSU rRNA". It matches the Rfam family "Bacterial small subunit ribosomal RNA", at positions 28 to 432 of the family's 1533-position model. The record is from RNAcentral.